CAGCAAUGAGCCCCUAGGAAUGUACACCGGAUUCUGCAACGACUCCUCGAAGUGGACAGCUUCUGGAACUCCCGAGAAUUCGCCAGGGUCAGCGACCAUGAGCACCGUGUAUCCCUCUGCUCCGCUGAGUUCAUCCAAGCAUGCUUUGGUCCUUGUCAGGCUGCAACUGUUUAUCCACGUACAAAAAGCACAACAUCAGCUUACGGUCCCAUCCAGAGGUGUAUCCAUUGGUCACCAAUUUGUGGAGUUAAUCUCAGCAAAGCACAGGAACAGAAUUCAAUGGCCGAGACUCCGAUUUUCGUUACCACGUCGAGCGCAAUCUAGCAGUGAGCAACAGUAGCAGCAGCGGCAGCAGUCCUUUCGCCAUCUUUCCUCCUGGGUGGGUACAUGAACUAAGUGAGAAAAACUGGGAAAAUUUCAGCGGGACCAGAGGCAGAAACGAAGCCAAAAUCCAGGAUAGGAAAAGUUCUGAGGGUAUAUAAAUAAACAAAUUACAAUUAGAAGACUGAAGUGAUCAUUGGAAGGCUAAAAAUAACAAUUAACGGGGAUUAAUUUAGAGGCGGAACUUGUCUGCACGACUCUGUCGAACAACGAAAAAUCACGCGAAGUGUCACCAAAACUUAUACAUGAAGUAGACUGCUUUAAAUGCUCGUGUUUUCUGUCAAAGCAGACAACUGCGCAUGGGGGCAUCACAAGGAAAUAGAAAAGAAAAAGAGUUCAAUCGUCUCCCAGCUUGGCAUUCCAGGAUUACAAACUAAGGCAAGAGGACAAGACACGAGUUUUCACGCUGAAAACUAAUUUGGUGCAAAGGUUUUGCCAUCACUAAAUUCCGACAGAGAAAAGGUUACCUCGCUUCAGACCAACUUAGACUUCUGAGCUCCGGAAAACAAAAGGGUCCCUGCAGCACCACAAUUAAUCGAAGCAAGAAUGUAAAUUUGCAACCAACAUGAGCAGUACAUCGGUGUUCCAAAGUGUUUCCAAACACUGUGAUCCACUCCCAGCCGAUCGUAUUGACGUCUAACUGCAGCCUUGGAAGGUCCGACUUAUCCCCAUGCGCAACGCAUGGUAGCAGCUAAACUAUCCGUAUCUCCACAGCCAAUUUCC
Molecule: long non-coding RNA, 1104 nt
Filed under: Physcomitrium patens
Lineage: Eukaryota; Viridiplantae; Streptophyta; Bryopsida; Funariales; Funariaceae
Description: long non-coding RNA (PPAT_LNC006279)
Source: RNAcentral